RNAcentral lists this ribosomal RNA (229 nucleotides) under uncultured bacterium. RNAcentral describes it as "partial 16S ribosomal RNA". It matches the Rfam family "Bacterial small subunit ribosomal RNA", at positions 568 to 796 of the family's 1533-position model. The record is from RNAcentral.
UGCGUAGGCGGAUUAAUAAGUCAGUGGUGAAAUCUUUCGGCUCAACCGAGAAACUGCCAUUGAUACUGUUAAUCUUGAGUUCGGUUGAGGUAGGCGGAAUGUGUAAUGUAGCGGUGAAAUGCUUAGAUAUUACACAGAACACCAAUUGCGUAGGCAGCUUACUAGACCGACACUGACGCUGAGGCACGAAAGCGUGGGGAGCGAACAGGAUUAGAUACCCUGGUAGUCC